RNAcentral lists this long non-coding RNA (649 nucleotides) under Anser brachyrhynchus (Pink-footed goose). Its description in RNAcentral is "lncRNA (ENSABRG00000006661.1)". Lineage: Eukaryota; Metazoa; Chordata; Aves; Anseriformes; Anatidae. The record is from RNAcentral.
AUCAGGUUAUGCUUUUGGUUACGUGGAUCUAAAGGUGCUUGCCUGUGCCAGGGAUUUUCAUGCAUUUAAGGAAGAUCAGAAUCUGGCUUCAGAUUUAUCCAUGUUAGCUGAUUUCCUGCCAACUGACUGCACCUGGCUCACUCUAAAUUAGUUACAGCUAAUUGUCAACAAAUGGCAAGAAGCAUCCAGUAAUGCAAUGGCUGGACGACCACGAUGUGUCAGAUUAACUGGGUGGACACACUGGAUAUUAUCAACAAUUCUGCUGCUGUGGAGUUACCAGAUCAGUGGACAAGGACAAGAGCCUCACUCUUGCAGGAUGAAUACAGCCCAGCAAAGGUUUUGGAAUGGCAAAGCUUGACUGAAAAGGCCGAAGAGGUAACUCAAAAGCUGUAUUGCCUAUUGGUAACUGGUAUGACAAAUCACAAUUUCUCAAAGCAAAAACCUGAGGCAAACAGUCUGCCAAAGCAUCGGAAUAAAACAUGUUCAGUAACUAACAAAUGGUGUGAAAAUAAAGAAGGGACGGGGAGAGAGAGGCAGAGUAGGAAAGUAGUAUCACUGGGGUAGAGUGAAAUGAGGUUAAAAGGCUAUCAGUAGCCCUUCUAGAUCCCUUUUGAAUAAAAGGAGAAGAAUUGGAGACUACUGAACUGCA